AUGCAGGUAAAGUUACAAUGUAGCUGUGAAGUGCUGUAUUGUCGUUCCCCCUGCACAUAGAAAAAUUGUCUCUUUUCUAUCCUUGUCUGUUUAAUUCCAUGGCAGACGAGGACGCUUGGUUUCAUACAU
RNAcentral lists this small nucleolar RNA (129 nucleotides) under Salvator merianae (Argentine black and white tegu). RNAcentral describes it as "Small nucleolar RNA SNORA63 (ENSSMRG00000023588.1)". It matches the Rfam family "Small nucleolar RNA SNORA63". Rfam says of the family: E3 belongs to the H/ACA class of snoRNAs and is involved in the processing of eukaryotic pre-rRNA and has regions of complementarity to 18S rRNA. Lineage: Eukaryota; Metazoa; Chordata; Lepidosauria; Squamata; Teiidae. The record is from Rfam by way of RNAcentral.